GGCCUCGUAGCUCAGUUGGCUAGAGCGUUGGCUGUACUAGAGCCUUUCUCUUGGUGUCGCGGGUUCGAAUCCCACCGAGGCAG
This 83-nucleotide transfer RNA is filed under the name Schistocephalus solidus. It matches the Rfam family "tRNA". Rfam says of the family: Transfer RNA (tRNA) molecules are approximately 80 nucleotides in length. Their secondary structure includes four short double-helical elements and three loops (D, anti-codon, and T loops). Further hydrogen bonds mediate the characteristic L-shaped molecular structure. tRNAs have two regions of fundamental functional importance: the anti-codon, which is responsible for specific mRNA codon recognition, and the 3' end, to which the tRNAs corresponding amino acid is attached (by aminoacyl-tRNA synthetases). tRNAs cope with the degeneracy of the genetic code in two manners: having more than one tRNA (with a specific anti-codon) for a particular amino acid; and 'wobble' base-pairing, i.e. permitting non-standard base-pairing at the 3rd anti-codon position. Lineage: Eukaryota; Metazoa; Platyhelminthes; Cestoda; Diphyllobothriidea; Diphyllobothriidae. The record is from Rfam by way of RNAcentral.